RNAcentral lists this ribosomal RNA (795 nucleotides) under uncultured bacterium. RNAcentral's name for it is "bacterial SSU rRNA". It matches the Rfam family "Bacterial small subunit ribosomal RNA", at positions 64 to 869 of the family's 1533-position model. The record is from RNAcentral.
CGACGGACUCAUAUUGAAACCUAGUGAUUUAUGAGUUAGUGGCGGACGGGUGAGUAACGCGUGGAAAACCUGCCGUAUACCGGGGGAUAACACUUAGAAAUAGGUGCUAAUACCGCAUAAGCGCACAGCUUCGCAUGAAGCAGUGUGAAAAACUCCGGUGGUAUACGAUGGUUCCGCGUCUGAUUAGCUAGUUGGCGGGGUAACGGCCCACCAAGGCAGCGAUCAGUAGCCGGCCUGAGAGGGUGAACGGCCACAUUGGGACUGAGACACGGCCCAAACUCCUACGGGAGGCAGCAGUGGGGAAUAUUGCACAAUGGGGGAAACCCUGAUGCAGCGACGCCGCGUGAGUGAAGAAGUAUUUCGGUACGUAAAGCUCUAUCAGCAGGGAAGAAAAUGACGGUACCUGACUAAGAAGCCCCGGCUAACUACGUGCCAGCAGCCGCGGUAAUACGUAGGGGGCAAGCGUUAUCCGGAUUUACUGGGUGUAAAGGGAGCGUAGACGGCAGCGCAAGUCUGGAGUGAAAUGCCGGGGCCCAACCCCGGAACUGCUUUGGAAACUGUGCAGCUUGAGUGCGGGAGAGGUAAGUGGAAUUCCUAGUGUAGCGGUGAAAUGCGUAGAUAUUAGGAGGAACACCAGUGGCGAAGGCGGCUUACUGGACCGUAACUGACGUUGAGGCUCGAAAGCGUGGGGAGCAAACAGGAUUAGAUACCCUGGUAGUCCACGCCGUAAACGAUGAUUACUAGGUGUCGGGGGACCAAGGUCCUCCGGUGCCGGCGCAAACGCAUUAAGUAAUC